This 1700-nucleotide long non-coding RNA is filed under the name Homo sapiens (human). Its description in RNAcentral is "HSALNT0087579". Lineage: Eukaryota; Metazoa; Chordata; Mammalia; Primates; Hominidae. The record is from RNAcentral.
CUUGCAUGCUCUGGGCAGAGCAGCCUCUAGAUGGCAUAGAAUGUUUUAGGAACUUCUUACUUGUCAUGAAAAGCAGAGGACACUGGAGCAGCUGCCUGGCUAAGUUGUGUAAUUUGUGUCAGCCCAAGGAGCCCUGUGUGAGAAGAUAUGAAUCCUCAUAAUAACUGAGGUCCUGGAUAAAACAAACCUGAUUGCAGUACUGUGAGUCCCUCCAAAGAGAUUCAACUGGAGGAGAUCACAGCUCCCAAAAAGAACAUCACUGGUGAGUUGAGAGAAACUGACUAAUAUGGGUGAAAUGAUAGAGAAGCCAGUGGCUACUGUUGUAUCAAGAGACUGUGCCUGACUUGGCCAUGCCUGGCCAUCCCUGCUACGUUCUGGGAAGGAGACUACCAUCUGUAAACAGAAAGACUUGCACCACAAGGGACAUACAGAGUUUGCCGUGGAAGUCACCCUGAAAGAGUAAGUCAGGCUCAAGACAGAAGUGCACAUCUGGAAUGCAGUCUUCAUUCUGUUGAGGUCCCUGUGCAAUUUACUCUGGUCACUAGAAGCAUGGAGAUCAGCUUGGGCAGGAAAAUGCUGGUGGCAGAGUGCUGAGGUCCAGGGUGCCGAAGGACUGAGUAAGUGCAAAAGCCCGAGCAGAGGGAUCCUCUUGGAGAAACUCCCUCCUCAGUGACCCCAUUUGGCCUUCUUAAGAUUCCUGGAGGGGUCCAAAGCAAAGAUCACACUUCCUCCAGGCAGAGUGGAUACUGUGAGCACAAGGACAAUGGUGACAAGAGACUGCAGGCACCAGUAAACUGGCUACGAAGGGAACAACAAUUCAUUAAUUUCAAGAGUCUUGAGUUACUAUGAGAUAGAAAUGGUACUGGCCUUGAUGGACUGAAAAACGCUAAGUAUUCUGACUUUCCUACUAUAAAAUGACACAGCCUUAAGUGUUAAGAAUCUAUGUUGGGAUAAUUGGUGUUUAUUUUGAAAAACAUUAACUCUGAGACUAUAAAGGAAUGAGAAAGUUAGAAAACAGCAUAGCCUAGCGAGAAAGUACGUGAUAGAGUGUCAGAACAUCUGGAUUCUGGCUUGAACUCUGUAAUAUUACAAAACCCAGUGGAUAUCACCAAGUCUGCUGUUCCUCUUUGCAAAAUGAGAUUUUGUUCUUUUACCUGCCACAAAGAAGUGCUAUGAAUAUACGUGAUCUUAAGGACUGAAGAUGUUUUGCUCCUACUGAGGGAACGUUAGACAGCUCUGCAUACUCCUUGACCUAUCAACCAGAGUUUCUCCUUCUCCCCCUCCUUUCCUCUCUUCCUUCAUCAUUGGAGAUCCUGUUUCUACAGAGUGCCAACCAGGACUGCUGUGGGUUCUUGUUUGUGAUAUGUGUAGUUCAAGGAGCACCAUUUUUGCUGGAUAUUUAUUUAAACAAACUUCAGGCAGAUGGCAGUAAAGUGUUUUGUUCCAAAAAAUAUCCAUCUAUUACAACAAUAUUCUGACAUGUGGAAAUAAAGUGUUUUGACAAAGGGAUACAUUUUUUUUUCUAAUUAUCACAAAAUCAUUUGGUGGUAUUCUAAUUGGAUAUAGAUCUGUCUUCCUCAUUAGAGACUGGCAAUAAGAGACAUACAAGAACUUAAUAAAACAUUGUAGAGGAGACUUCUGCAUCUAGAUAGAAGAGGACUGAGUGAAGUAGGAAGUGAUGAUCAACUUAAAGGUUCUGG